Lagopus muta (rock ptarmigan) is the source of this 1688-nucleotide long non-coding RNA. RefSeq lists it as uncharacterized. The transcript is spliced from 4 exons. The record is from RefSeq and is a predicted model, not a curated record. NCBI's taxonomy places the organism in Eukaryota, Metazoa, Chordata, Aves, Galliformes, Phasianidae.
GAGAUGCACACUGCAGCAAGGGCUGCCGGAGGGACUGCGGGUUGCGGCUGUGUGUGCAGGCAGCGCAGCGCUGAGGAAGCCGGCACGCACGGCAGAUGGCCGGCUCUGCUUGCGACAGAUGACCAGGCAAAUGAAGGAAAGCAGAAAUUCUGAGGCCAAAGGGAUGAUAUCAGAAGACUGGCAAGGAGAACCGCAUUCUCCGUGUAACACCACCACCACCGAAAUGCACAGAAGAUGGAGAGGGACACAGAGACUGCAGGCAGAAUUUGCUUCUGAGUUUGUGCACGUCCUGUCCAACAGCACUGAGCAGCACAACAGUGAAUGCAGCAUGAGGAAGUGAGACAAAUUAGAAGAACUGAGUUCUGAUGGUCAGUCUGAGCUGAAAGAGAUGCUACAGUUUCUGUCUGCAACUGAAGCCAAGUGAUCUGUAACGCCUGCAAUUACAGCACUUUACAAACGGAAGAGGAAAGCCUUGACCAUAAGUUGAUUAAUUCUGAACUAAUUUUAAGGGUUUAGAAAACAAAAAAAUACUUCAUUACUAAAGAUUUAAACGUUGCAUGUCUACAUGAAGAAAUAUAUAUUUGCUCAAAGUUCAGAAGAUUGGAGGGUAAAAUUAAUCAUCUUCCUUACGCUUAAUUGCAUUCAGCCUUGAGAUACAUACUUCUAUGAGUUCUGUAAAUUUGGCUUAGGUAUAUUUUUGUAUAGCUAUAGUUAUACAUACAUCUCAUGUUGCUGUUUCUGUUCUCUGAUUGGGAAACGCUGCUUUACUACUGGUAAAGUUGCUCUACAAGCAUUUACAUCCAUUCUACCUUUGAAUACACGUGCACCAUAGCUUACCUGGAGAUGAAGAGAACGGGCUGCUGAGGGAUGUCUUUCCCAGGGGGACUCAUUUUUCCAGGAAGACACCUCUGAUACAGUAUUUCCUCAUGGAGGGCUUCCUGAGCACAGCCACACAAUAUUUAGCGUAAAGGCAUCAGAGGAACACAAUUUCUUCAGACCACAACUCACCAAAUUGGCUAAAGGAGGCAAAGGGAAAUGCUGAAGUUUAACAAGGAAAGAAAACAGACAGAAGAACACAAACCACAUGGUCAGGGAAUAUCCAACAAGGAUCUUUUACUCCCUUUCCACCGACAUUGUCCUGCUGCUCCAUCCCAUUCCCCUCUCUCAUCUAACCUCUACUGAUGCUGAACUCUUCUGCCCAAUCCACAUAUGGCAUGCUUUGAAACUCACUGCUCUAUACCAUUUAACCACAGUCCUCUUCUUUAAAAUUGAAUGACUGACAUAUAAUUUCAGAAGUCUCAGACUGACCCAGCAACUGAGAAUGAGCAGAAGCAGAAGCUUAGACACAGCUUUAAAACUGCAGCAUAUGUUUGUGAGCCAAUUGCAUGGUCAAGAAAUGUUGGCUGGGACUUUAGAUAUUUCAUGAAUAUUGUGAAGUCAUUUCAUGAAACCAGAUUUGGGGUGGUAGGGGUGAGCAGUGGGGUUUUUCUUGUUCCUUUGACUGAAGAGGCUCGUGUUUCUGGCACUGAAUACAUUCGAACAGUGGUAUGGAGACACCAAAAGGAAAACUGCCCAGGGACUGGACACAGUGCUCCAGAUGGGCUCUCACUUGAGUGGAAAAAAUCAUCUCCCUCAACCUGCUGACAACACUCUUCCCAAUGCAGCCCAGGAUAUUGUUGACCUUCGAU